Molecule: ribosomal RNA, 205 nt
Filed under: uncultured bacterium
Lineage: Bacteria
Description: partial 16S ribosomal RNA
Rfam family: Bacterial small subunit ribosomal RNA
Source: RNAcentral
UACGGAGGGUGCAAACGUUGCUCGGAAUCAUUGGGCGUAAAGCGCACGUAGGCGGCCUGUUAAGUCGGGUGUGAAAGCCCUGGGCUCAACCCAGGAAGUGCACUCGAAACUGGCGGGCUUGAAUAUGGAAGAGGGUCGCGGAAUUCCCGGUGUAGAGGUGAAAUUCGUAGAUAUCGGGAGGAACACCAGUGGCGAAGGCGGCGAC